Dromaius novaehollandiae (emu) is the source of this 16090-nucleotide long non-coding RNA. RefSeq lists it as uncharacterized. NCBI's taxonomy places the organism in Eukaryota, Metazoa, Chordata, Aves, Casuariiformes, Dromaiidae. The record is from RefSeq and is a predicted model, not a curated record. The transcript is spliced from 3 exons.
UACUACAUCUAUCCCGUACUGAGAGGAAUACAUUUUUAUGAACUUGCUGAUCAAGUGCUCUGUGCUUAUCCUGACGUGCAGGUAUAGAGAAACCAUACGAACAGAGACAGGAAUUACUCAGAACAGAAAGGGAAGGAUGAGUUAUUGGGACAGCUGUCCCAGACGUCUGCUCGGUAUAGCAGAGAAAGGAGGGUCUAAGAGGAACAGAUGACAUCUCUUCCGCAUCUGGUCAGCCUUAGAAAUGUUCUUAAUUCUACCACAAGGCAGCCUGGAGAGUCUGAAAGCACAGCAAAUGGUGUGUUUCUAGCCCUGCUCUUACUGCUUCCUGAGCCCUCUCAGUGCAGGUGGGUAGGAGCUGCUCUGUGCUGGCUGGGGAAAUUGAGGCCAGUUUCUGUGGUGGUCUGGCAGAGCAAAGGAAAGAAGCUCCCCUUAAGUUUAACAGCACAUCUUGCCGUACUAUUAAUAUUAAUCAUCUUCUUUUCAGGAAUUUGUUUUGUUUCCUAUUGAGGUAUUUUGCCUUUGUCUCAGAAUGAUUUAAUUAACUUUAGCAAAAUAUGUUUUCUGAUUCACAGAAAGAAUCCUUUAGAAUUGACUAAACACUUGGUAUCAUUUGUUGGAUUUAUGAAAUAGUGUAUAUAACAAGUUAGAAAUGUUCAGGAAUUCUGAAUACCUAUAAAUAGAUCUUGGUUUUAAAGGACAUAUUCACCCCUUCCCCCCAACAUAGUAUGACCGCCUCAUUAACAUUAAGGGACUCACACCUUUACCAAAUCUUACAUAGCUAACUUUCCUGGUUAUCAAAUGCAAACUCACUCAGGCACGAGAAGCAGUGUAGCUAUGGUAGCCUAUGUCAGAGAAUUUUCCUGCUAACAGAAGACAGCUCAUGUGUCUCUGCAUUGAAUGACGGCGCUCAGCAGGCCAGGAUUUCUCUGAAGGACAAAAGGGGCUGGAUUCUCCUCCCUGUUUAGCACCACCCGUCUGGGUCAUGUGAGUUGAAAACACAGUGGCAUGACUGCAAAACAUCUUCAUGCAGAUCACAGAUGCAGUGUAGAUUACACUAGGAUUCUUCAGUGAGGUAUUUGGAUAAAUAAUUAAAAUAUGUUGAGAACAGAUUUUUACUGUUGGGGAUUUUCCAAUAACAUUUCUUCACAAGAUGGAGAAAACUCUUUUCCUCUUUAGUGUCGUAGAGUUGGAAAGUAUGCUCAACUAAUUUUGUUUAUUUGUUUCCAGAUAAACAGAAGAACAUAGUGUAAAGGUCACUUUAUUUUUCAAAUUUGAUUCAAACAGGCACCCAGUGUAGCAUCACUAGUAUAUUUGGCAUCUGUUAUUCAAAAUUUUUAAAGCACAGUCACAAACAGUGAAAUUAUAUUAUAGAAUUCAGACAAGGCAAAUCAUGAUGAAUUUUGAUCACUGUAUGUGUGAUGAUGCUUUGUCACAAAGGCCUAGAUCCCUGCAGGGCAUGUACUUCCAUUGAUUUCACUGGAAGUUAGGGACCCGAACAGUUUAUGGAUCUAUAAUAAUGCAAAGAAAACCUGCCUUUUCAACUAUGUCAUCUUAUUUGAAGCACUUUAAUUUCUGAUGACCUUAAUUGAAGCCCUGAAAUGUGCAAAUUAAAUGCCUUGGGCGUAAAGACUCACUCACUGAAGGUGUCAGGAUGCUCUAGGACUCUAUUCUCCAUUGCCUGAAAUGUUUUGUAUUGCUUAGGCAUGUGUCGUGGAUGUAAACUAUUAAUAAAUCUGAAUUCUCCACUUACAUCAGUGGUAACAUUUUAUGCACAUUUUGCAGACAUAUAAAUGACAACCAGUGGAAAUAUAGACUUUCAGGAAUCUGAUUUGCAGAGGUUUGAAGUUCUUUCCAUUCUAGCUGAAGCCAGUGAGACCAGUUUCUGAAAACUGGGUUCUAGAUAUUAAAGUCUGGCAGGCAAAACUGGGAUAUCAAAAAUUAGAUGCCAGCUCUGAAAAUGUAAUUGUAAGUCCUCUCACAGAGGAAGUCUGAGACAGAGUAAGACUAGAAUCUAAAUCAUCUGAUGCCCAGUCCUGUGCAUUAAGCACAGUACUGUUUUUUUAAUACUUGAAACUUGAAUACGGACUUUUUCAAAAAUAAAUGUAGUUUUCGAAACUCAUCCACAGCAUAUACAAAAUAAGAGUUUGACAUGAUUUGCUGAUGGUAGAAUUCUGAUAGCUGGAGUCUAUUUUCACCUCAAAUUUUCAAAGACUAAAGAGAUUCCAAAUCGGUUCACACUUCAUUGCUGUGAAGUUCAGCCCCAUAUGAAUAAAUGUCACUUUUAACAAAUUGCUUUUUUUUUUAACCAUUCUUCUUCAUUUUUAUGCAUGUGGCUAUUUUCAAUUUCAGCUUUUACAUAAUGCUUUUAUGUGAGUAUAUGCUUGGUCUCUGUAAAAGCAUGACUAUGAAUGCUGUUGUUUAGAAGAAAAAUAUCAUUACAUGCUAUUGGAUUUUAAGAGUAUCCCUUAUUUUGCUCUCUUUAAUAAGAAUACUUAGAAAAGCAGAAAAAUUCCAGAGGACAUGACACCUCAGGUAACAGCAAUUUGUGUGUAUUAUUUGACUAGUCUGUAUUAAGUUAUAGUAAGGACUGUGUGGUAAAAUAUGACCUGGAUUAAAUGAAGUCAUUGGUAAUCAAGCUAGCUCCCAUUUGUGUACAUAUAUAUGUGACAAUAGGGAUAUUGAAUUUAUGAUCAGAAGUUAUCGUCGGCAAGUGCAUUAUGAUAGGUUGAUAUAUAUCAAUUAUUAUGUAUUUAACUGCUGUUAUGUAUAGAUUUUAUUAAGAUGAAAUCCUGCAGUGUUUCACAGAUAUAAGUGAUUCAAAUUCCAGUAUAAAUUUGAGGUAAAGGUGAUCAGGGAAAAUCCUUCCAACCGCAAAUGGAGUGAGCCCCUGACAGUGGGACCGUGUGGGACCACCAAAUGAGAACAUGUAGGCAGCACUGUAUGGAGUCUGGCUGCACGUGAGGUUGAUGGCAAGGGAGAGUAAAUCAAAGUUAGCUUUGAAGUUUGUCUAUUACUGUAAUUCAUUUGAGGAAAAAAGGCAUCUAUACAUACUAGGAACUUGAAAGCAGAGACUUGCAGUCACUAAAGCAAGAUGAGGUAUGACCAUAGAUUUAAGGAUGCUUUGCGUCAUGGAAGUAGGGUGUGGGCGGACGGCCAGGUGCCUAGUAAAUAGGUCAUGUGCAAGAAUACUGGAGAGAUUCAGUCCUGGCUUGUAUGUUUAUUUUUAAGAGAAUUAUUGUCUGGCAGCGCAUGCUAUGUUGCUCAUAGUUGCCUAUUACACCUCACAAAUGAAAAAGUAUAGUCUUCCUGACACAUGCGGUAGGCAAGUAGAGAUAUUGAGAUUCUUGAAUACAUGAUAUGGUGGCUGUUAACAUGAAAAGGGAUUAAUUAUUUAAUUUAGAGAGAGUAAUGAUUUGGUUUUGAAUAAAAUGCACAGAAGACAAAAUGAGACAAGGCUACUUCUACUGGUUUACGCAGAGCAACCUCCCAUUUUAAAAAUUAUCAUGAUCUAAAAAAGUAAAAUUUUUGUAAAAGUCAGGCGGAGGUUGGGUAUGCACAGCAGUGGGAAAACAUCCUUUCCUCCUUCUUUAGCACUUUUGGACUUCCUUUCAGUUACAGUGCCCACCAUGAAGGAAUAACAGAAAUCAAGUAAAUUGCAGUGUUUAUAUUUAGACACUUUAACAGAUAUGAAAAUGUGGGGAUCUAAAAUAUGCAGAUAUAUCGAUUUGAUUUGCACUGCCGUUCUAUCAUUUUGUUUCAAGUUGGACAACAGAUGUAGCGCACUAAGGAAGUUUUUCUGUAGUAGUUUCAAGUAUUCUCUUGCUACACUAGUCAGAUACUUUUGUAUGAUGAUUUUUAUGCUUCCUUAGAAGGAGGAAAUUGAGCUCUCAAAUUAGAUAAUAACACAAUAGUGUGUGUUUACUUUGAUUCGAGUAGCCAGCCUCAUAAAAUGAAAGUCUCACAUGUGAAUAAAAGGUUGCAAGGCUGCAGCCUAAUAGAUUAUAUGCAAAGAACUGUCAGACGUCUGAAGUGAGCAAAGCAUAAGGCUGUCCUCUAAUUUCUUAAUUUUGGGAGUUUUGAUACCACUUGUACUUAAAGUUAGUAUUAAUCAUAGGGAAAAAAUGCAACCUUUCUCCCUUUAAUCUUUCUCCGAUUAAUCAACAUUUAUAAAUACAGUAACACGUUUCAGAUGUUACUAAUGUAUUUUUAUCUGGGGAUUGCUUAACACGCAUAAUAAAAUAGGUCUGUCUGCUGAAACACAGCAUAGUGGAAUGCGGCAUAGUGCUGCUUGAAAAAUUAAUCAUCUCUUUUUUGGAUUUUCAUUAGGUGUAAGUGCUUUAGAUAGCCAUGGAAACACAGCUGUUGGUAAGAUGGAUCAAACAUAUUGCACAGUUGAUCUACAUCCUAUCUUCUUACUUCUUGUGGCUAGUGUAAAUAUUUGUGUCUAACUAUUUUUGAAGAAACAUCCUUUCUAUGUGCAAUUGACUUUACAAGCAAAGGGAGUAUAUUAGGUGAAGCACUCUAAUGAGAUUGCUGAUUAGCCAGUGAAUGACCAGGGGUUUAGGACAGGAGGUGGCAGCCUUGAGUAGCAACUCUCUGCUCUUAUUAAGCGCAGCUCCUGGUUGAAAUAGGAGCUAGGCACAGAUAACUCAGUAUCUGAGCCCUUGUUCUUAAACACUGAAAUGACCAGCAGCUUAGUUAUUAAAGGUGGCAGCAGCUUGCUUUGUCCUUUUCGGCUGACACUUAGCAAAAUGUAACAGAAUUGUUUCACAGUUGCAAUGUGGGGCUAUGUGAGUUUUCUUAGAUUUUGAAAUAUUUAUACUAGUAUCUGUAGAGGGAAAGACUGCAGCAUAAUGGAGAGGCAGAAUUUACUCUGUCCCAUUCUCUUCUGGGUUUGUUUCUUCUUACAAGGGAAAAUCAAGUUGCAAACAAGAAUAAUCUCCAAUAAAAUACUGUACUGUUUUAUUUUAAUAUGUAUAUCAACUUCUGGAAGGGCAGAUGAUUAUCCAUUGCCUGGCUAUGGUCUAUAUGCAGAUUAUAAGGUACUUGUAUCUCCCUAAUGAACUACCACAAAGUAAAGGCAAGAGAACCUACCAUUGUUAAAAAUGUCACUGGCUGAAAUUUUCUAAUCGACACAACAGUGCAGAACCUUGCACUUACCCUGCCUCAGCAGAGAGGGGAACUUGAUGACAUCAUUGGUUUUUCCCUAUGAAAAUGCUUAGUUGGAAAAGGACAAAAAAAGAUUAAAUGAAUCACAGUAGUUACAUGCAACAUCCCACUUUUAAUCUUUUUGAAUGAUGAUCAAAAUGUAGCCAGGGGAGUUCUCUAGCAUUGCUUAUUUCCAGUGGGUAUUCACUGCAGAAAUGUUGCUUUUAACUUGUUUUUAUAAAUUUUGUAUAUUUGUUGAUUGAUUUUCCCUAGAGCCUCAGAUCUUAAAAAUAUGUCUUUUGGUCCAAAUUUCAACUUAAAAAUUUUUCAUUUUGUUUCUAGCCCUUGUGGUUGUGGGAAAAAUUUUUGUAACACAAUUUUGAAUGUGACAUAAAGGCUCAGAAGCUGGCGUGGGGAGGAAGGACCAAGUCAGUUUUUUGGGGGGCACGGUGUUUAAGUUGCAUUAAUUUUUAUUUCCUUUGUUAUUUUUUUGAGGGGCCUAAGAAUAGGCAUUUACAAUACUGUCUUUCGUACAAAUUGUUAAUAUGUGAAUCCUGUCAUGGAUUAUUCAGGCUCUGUAGCCCAGCUGAAAGGGUUAAUUGUGGCCAAGAAAGUAUGAGCAGUACUGAUGCAUGUGAAAAGCCUUGCUUUAAAAGUUUACAAAGCAGCAAAUCCUUUGAAUAGAAUCAGUUGCAGCUCUGCUUUACUCAGAAAAUAUACAUGUGUGUAGACUACGUGAGUAAGCCUCAAUCCAUAACAGAACUAAUUUCCCAUGUUUUUUGUCUGAGCCUGUAGACAUAAAAUAUUGCCUUUUUCUUUCCCCCUGUGGCUGGAAUCCUUUAGUUAAACUGUGCAUGCACAAAUCUGCCUGCUCCACGUAGACACAAUAGUCUACAUGGAUGGAUCUGAAUGCAAGAUCAAGCUAUGUGUAAUACUCAAGUCCUGUUAGCAGACAUUGUCAUGAAAACUGUUGUUUAGUCUUUUCAUUAAACAAAUAUGUGUUAAGUUUGCAUAAGCAGUCGCCCAGCCAUGGCUUCCAUACAGUCCUUUAAUAACUAACAGGGUGUGGUGAUUAAAUUUCCUCAGAGGCUUUUCUCCCAUCUGACUACCAAAGAGUAAUUUAUUCCUCAGUUAAGAUCAUCACUUGCUUGCUUUGUUUAUUCACCUCCUUCAUCUGUAGGAGAUAAGUCAGUGAAUUAAUAGCUGUCUUUUUAGUGCAUAAAGAGUGGUUCCUUGAGCCUGAUUCCCUAAAGAAAUAAGGCUUAUGUGAUCAUACUCUGUCUAUCCCAACAUCCAGUGCUAAUAAUGUGGAACCCCCUUGACCAUUUCAUUUAAACACAGCAGAGAGACACAGGAUUCCAGCCUUCCAGCUUCCUGUCAGUUUUAUGAAAAUGGGUUGCUGGGAGGGGGAGAGAGAUCCUAGUACUGCCUUCUGCUGAGGGAGAAUUUGCUGUGUGAACUCAUUUCUUACCAGACAACUGAAAAUUCAUUCAAGCUCCCCUCUGAGGCACAAAACGCCAAGAGGCCAGCCUUCACUGGUUGCGUUGCCGCAACUUACUCGUGUGGAAAUAACUCUAACUUGGGUGGGCAACACUAGCUGAAACAUGGCACAGGUAGGUCUUACGUGUCCUUUGGCUUAAUGGAAAUUCUGCAGUGAGAUGAUAGCUAUCACAAUGUAAAAACAUGCUUUUUCUUUGUACUGAAUAUGGGGCCAUGCUGUGCCUCUCAUAUGUAGAUGUGGCACUGGGAUACGGUUGUCGUGAGGGUAUUUCAGGUAACUCAGUCUUUAAACAUUCCUUUAUCAUUCUGAAGGCAAGGAAUGUGAUGUUCUUGAUGCUGAAAAGGGAUUAAGCACACACAAUUUCAGAGCUCCUGCAUAGAAAGUGGCAUUUGUUCAUUUAGAACAUACAUGCUAAGUUUCAGUUACCAAUAUAAAGCAAUUUUAGAUUUAUUUGGGGUCAAGAUGAGCACCUGUUUAUGUGUGUGUGUUUGUUUUUUAAGUAAGACCACUGAAACUGUGAAACAAUAUGCAAAACUUGCCUCUUAUACCUCCUCAGUACUGGUAAGCACUCUUAGCUGAAAGACUGAAUCUAACCACUGUUCUGUAUAUAAGUUUAAACUAACCUUUUAAUUUUCACUCAUUCAAAGUCAUGUUUCUGGGACUAGAGAAUGAGACAAAAAUAUUUGCUCUGUGAAAAAGUGCAAUAAUCCUGGGCCUUGUAAUGUGUGUAAUGCUGAAGAAAUAGGGUUUCCUCUUUUAGCUAGGUGGUUUUGGAGUCUGAAAGACUCAAUUUCUUUCAUUUCUUGAUUUUCUUAGGAUAACAGUAGUUGCAGUCUUACCAAAUUUGGAACACGGGCAGAAGUUUUAUUGCAGAUCCAGAUGCGUAGAGGAAAGAGAUUUCCCAUCCACAGCUACGUGGGUCCUUCUGGUAUCUACCUACUGACCUGUCAGCGCAGCAGGUUUUGCGAAUUCUCCCUAAUUCACGUUAAGCAAAAUUAGCCAGAUUAUUUUAAGAAGUUUAAAAUCCUGAUCUGAGAUACGCCAGCUGACUUUGCCUCACCUGAUUUAGCACUGCUCCCAUAAACUCUUCUGUUAGCACAUCUGAGGAGUGGUGAGGAACUUCUGGCAUCGUUAAUCCUCUCCACUGGCACUGCCAGAUUUAGAGGAAGACAUCUGUAUGCGACACGAAAGCUUGCUGAUAAUGCACAAGCAUAUGGCAGCAGCAGGCAAGACUUCUGCCUCCACAAAAAAGGCCUGAAUAUCCCAGCUCAAUAAACAGAAAAAAAAAAAAGAGAGAUCAUUACACUUCUACAACUUACACCAGUGAACCAUCUAAACUUACACUGAGGAAAGUUCCAGGUAGAUGAAAAAAGUGUAUUUGAAGAAGUAUUUAAGAGUUUGGGGCAUGAAGAUCUAUUCUGAGGGUGGAAAAAAGUCCUCAUUAAAUAUAUAUGACAGUUUUUAAGAGGAAUGGGCAGUUCGAGUAUAAGGGAUAACCUCAGGCUGUGAAUGGCAGGAGCAGAUGUUUAGGAAAUGCUAGUUCUUUGAAUGGUAGAAAAAUCUAAGAGAAGUGACCAAGUUGGUCCAUGAGCAGUGGAAUCACAAGCCUGGUUUCCAAUGGAUUUGUGUCUCAUAGUGGAUUCUUUCAUGGCUAGUCAGGGACAAGCUCUGAUCUAAGUUUUUCCCCUGGUCUUUGUGUCUGUCCUAGAUGGAUUGUCUCAUGUCUGAUAAGAACAGGGCUUUUGCUACCUCCUUUCCCGUGGCUGGACACACCAUUUGGAUCUCUCCUUCCUCGCUGUGCACUAAACUUUUAACAACUGUACUUCUUGAAACCUCUGUUUCUCUUUCAAAUUUAGUUGAAAACAGGCACUGGGUUCAGAAGCUAUUUGAGGAAGAAAUGAAGACAGUGGAAUAGGCACUCAUACACAAAAUAUGAUGACAGGUCUUUUUCUCUUAGGAAAUCGGAACAGUUAGAGAAGGCACUUCCCCCAAGCAUGGUGAUUACCCGCACCGACAAGGUCAUCUCAAAUUUGACUUGUUCUUGUUGGCACAGAAAGGGUGAACAGAAGCAGCACUGCAGUGCGCUUUCACUUUGUGGCCCCUGAAGCUGUUUUGUAGAGAGCUGGGGUACUAGUCUACAACGCUGUACUUUUGUGAGGGAUUUGUUAGGGUUUUUUUGAACUUUGUUAUUUAUUAGGUGAAAAUAUGUACAGUUAGAAUUCCAGAUGUUGGUCUAAACCUAUAUAUAAUUACAUUUUUUUAACUUUUUGGUUGUUGUUACUGAUAUAAUUCAUUUUGCUUAACCUGUUAGUCAUUCCAAGGUAAUAUAUACUCAUUUUUCUGGGUGGGAGCUACAGCUGGUAUGUAUGGGAAAACAAAAUCCAGUAACUGAUGCAUAAAACAAUCUAUCUAAGCAUGUACCUAGAUCAAUUUUAAUAGGUACCCUUUGUGAACCAUAACAAUUUUCUGUAGUUUUUAUCAACGUUUUUAUCACAUCUUCCUCCAAUUAGGCCAGAGCUCUAUUGUUUUGCUAAUGCUUUGGCUGACUUGAAAAAUAACCCUUCUUUGACUGUUUGAGAACCAGUAGCUGAAGCAUGGAGUAGUGGCAGGCUACUCUUUUGUCCCAGGAAAGGAAAAAAUGCUUAAAUGGAAAAUGAGAGACUAUCAGAAGAGCUGUUCAGAAUAAACAGCUGCAUGUUUUUCCUCUCUGUCUCAGAAAAAUUUGUUUAGCUCCAAGGAUGGUUUUGAAUAUGCUAGUUCAUAUUUGCUAACAUGAGCAAAAAAUUUAAUGUAUACAAAGGAAUGUGUACUGUGAAUUGGCCUUUGUAAGAUAAAAUGUAGGCUUCACGUAGAUCAUGUCAUUGUAUGUAAAAAGAUACAUAUGUCUUGCCUGCACAAAACAAAAAGGCUGUAUCUAUAUACUUAUCUAAUUACCAAAGUUUUCUCCACCAAACGCAAAAUAUCUUCAGGACAGGAGAAUCUGUGUAGGUAGGUACAAUAAAAUUACUUCUUUGCCUCUAUGAAAUUCUCUGUAAGAAUGUACAAGCCACUAGAGCCUGUAACAUAAUAGCGAUUUCAGCUAAAUGAACUCUAAAAUCAUGCUUCUAGAAAGGUAGUAAUGCCUGUAUAAAAACCGUAUGUAGACGAGAACCUAGUAUGUCUACUAAUGCAGUCUACCACCACAGCUGUUAUCCAAGGAUAAGGUCUUAUUAAAUCUGAGGAAGUUAGGUCCUGUUCACCUUUUUUAUAUCAUUGCUUUUAUUGCUCUGGGAGAUAGUAGACUUCUGUGUUCAGUUCCUGCUUGCCAGCAGUCACCUUGCAGAGUGUCAGUCCUACUUCAAACGGUUGCAGUUUAUAAUAUUGAACGAUACUGACGUAGCUAGGUUAGGACUCCCCUCUUUAAGGAAAUCAGGGUGGUGUCAAACCUGCCAAAUGACUCUUUCACAACACUGAUACAGGUUGCGUGACUGGAGUAUUCAACUGAUUCCUGCCAGAGCAGUGCUCUCACUGUCGUAAACUUGCACAGGCUCAGGUAGUUUGACCAUUCAGAUCUGUGCUUACAUGAGCUUAGCUAACAUCAGAAUCAGCUCCAGGACAAGAAAAGUUGUGGUGUUCUUUAGGCUCUUGGACCAUUUUCCUGCAUCUAACAUGAUGUCUGUCAGCAAGUUAGAACUGAGUCUUGCGUAUCAUCUAUGAGUUUGUUGGGUGUGUGCAGUAAAUAGGAGUCGUCUUCAAAGGAACUGCUUUUGGUUACAGACUGUCAAUGGCAAAUCCUUACAUUUGACCUUAGAAGCAUUUAAAAGAAAGAUACCUAUUCUCCUUUGUUUCUUGACAAUGUAUGAAAAAGGCCUGACCGGAUGAUUGUUAAGUGUGCGUAGAAAGUGUUGGCCUCUACUUCUGCUUCUCCUAUACAAAAAUAUUCAGAAAACAUCUAUGGCUGCCUGGCACAACAGAGCUGAAAAGGGUGGAAUUACUGAAUCUUAAAAAAAAAAAAAAAAAAUCAUUAUUCCCAAAUGCUAACCACUAAUGAGAUUAUUCCACAUUAUUCCUUACUCGAAAACUCAACUGUUAUGUUUUGAUGUUUUAAUUCCACUAGUGUAUAAUAUUCUUUUAGUAAGGACCUGGAUUUCUUAUAUAUAAAAGCAAACACGAGAAGACAAGGGAAUAUAAUUUGAAGCUGCCUUUAGAUACUCUGAAGGAUAAGUGCCCUCUUUUUGUUUCUAUUAACACUUUAUGUACCAGGUGGAUCUAGAUGAGCAGAGCUUGGGGUGCUGUCUGUGCUUAGCCUAGUGAGUGAACAGAGUGGCCGUCAUUAUGAUUUGUGAGUGGAAAAAGAUUUUCUGUGUGGCCUUGGCAACAGACAUAUGCAUUCAUGUUUGAAGGAGAGAGAUAUGAUUAUGGAAGCUGGAGACUGGAAGAGUGUUUCUGCUGUGUUUACCCUAACCUUAUAGUCUUCCCUUGGCACUAAGUCUUAGAAAGGUCGUCUGGGUCACAGAAAGCCAUAUAGUGUGUGACCCUGGCACCCCAGAGCAUGGACCAUAUCCAUAGCAGUCCUAGUUGUCCUCUUAGCAUGCUCAGUGUAAGUCACAGCAUCUCAGAUCAUGUUUGAGAGGAACACUCAGUGUUCCUCUAAGAAAUAAGCUUUACACAACGACAGCAAGCCAAGCAGGGGAUAGCCAGCUCAGUAUGCCUUGAAUAUCACCACAGGGUGCUUUGUAGUGGCAAAGCGGUAUCUAGCAAAUCUUAUUUCUGAGUGCCUUGUCCCUGUGACCUUUUCAACCUCAUAACAAAAUAUACAGUGAGGGAUGGGAUACUGAGCUAGGUGGGCCUUUGGUCUGACCCACUAUACUGCUGUUACGUGGAUGCAGCAGUUGUUUUGGGUAAGUCUGUUCUGUGUUGAUGUAGACCUCAGCUGGUUAUUAUGAAGGAAGAAGAGAACAAACAGAAGGGUUUAUUUAUUACCCUAUAUAUUCAAAAUACAGUCGGAUCAGUGUAGGAAUAAGGUUGGUGGAAAAAAAAGCAAUGCAUCUUUCAAAAAUACUUAAGCAUAUUGUCAGCUUAAAAAAUAAAAUUUUGUUAAUGUUAAUCACUGAUUUCAUUAGUGAAUAUCUAAGAAAAACUGGAAGUUACAGUUCAAGAACAGGAUGAUUUUUCAUUUUAUUUCUUUUCUUUCCUCCACCCCAUAUAUUUUCUCCUUGAAUUUGGCAAUGCCUUGUGUGCCUUGUGUCACUCUCUGGUCUCAUGCUUGAAAUACGACUUCAUCAUUCUGGACCAAUUUAUGGUGAAAAUUUAGCAGCAUUUUUGCUACAUAUGGGGAUAUUAACAAAGCUUAACAGAAAGCACAUAGUUUAACUUCUAGAACCCAGGCUAAAAUGAACAGACCAAACUAUUGAGACAGUAGAGUCCUAUGAUGGUAUUGUACACAGCUACGUGCUUCUUUCUGGAGAACUCAGAAGUAAUUGACAAAGUAAAACGAAUGACACUCUAAAUUUCAACCAUCUUGUCUUGCAAAUGGUCAGUAUUCAACAAAGAGAAAUAGGCACUCCAGAAAAUGAUUCAUUCCAUAAUACCCAUUUCAGGAUAGAGGAAAUAAAGCCUCAGAAGGAGGAAGGGUUGCUGUCUCUUAUAUGCAGCUAUCAUUGCAGUGUUUUUAAAUAAAUUCUAGUCUAAGAAUCCAACUUACUUUUCUCACUGAAAACAAAUGAAAAUAUAGUCAGUAUUUGCAAAUGCAAAGUUCUGCAGAAAUGGAAGUCAUUCUACCAUAUUUCAGCCUGCUCCACAGAGAGGCAGAGAAGAUUUCUUUUAACCUGUUUUUAAUCUACCCACUAAGAGCAAAGUGCUGAUGUGGCUCUGUGUUUCUUGGAAAUCUUCUUCCCCUUGCUAUUUCCUGUUGUCUUCUCAAGCCUGUGUAUUUCAGAUGUGAAUGGGGACCUAUACAAAAUCUCUUCUUGUUUGUAGUGGUAUAACAUGAAGCCUUAGACAGGUGUAGGUGUAGAUGGGUGUUACUUCCCAGGCUAAGGGAAUGGAAAGUUGAAAGCACAGCAGAAAGUCUUCUCAUUUUUGUUCUGAGGAUUCGGCCCCGGCUGCAUACACCCUGUGGUUAACAUCCAUAGCCAGACGCUGACUUUGCUUGACAGGUUCAUCAGAGGCCGCAUCCUAAAUCUCCUUCUCUAAAAACACCUUCAGCACUUUGCAUGACUUGCUGGUAUCAUCCUGAGAUGCACUUUACACCAGUCCACGGUGAGACAGCGCGUGCUGGGUUUCGCGGUGUUGGCGGGGACGCUUGGCACCUCUGUUCACACACCUCUGUGCUGCAGUCUGACGUUGAGAAGCUGUCUGCAGGCCAGACGGUGCUGCAGGAGAAGCAGACACUUGUGAACAGAAUUUGUGGCUGCAUUAAGGGAUGAUUAAAUUAAAGACAAGGCACUGCCAGUGUGUGCAUCUGAAUGAUUGUGGUGCUUCAGCGUAUGCUAGUGUUUGUUCACCUAUCUGAGUUUAUGGAAUUUUGUUUGCCUGUGUUUGGAGGGGGGAAUAUAUUGCUGCAGUGAUUUGACACCUCACCUAAGCGGCCUUAUUUCAAAGCUUUUCAGAUGCCAAAUGGAAUGAAGUGCUUUCCGAAUCUGUAAUUGACCUGGCAGGAACUGAAUGAUUGUCCUUAAAACCAUUUGUGCUUUCUGUUUGGUGACCUUGGCAGAUCAGUGACUGGGAAAGUUGUUCACAUGCCAUCUGCACCUGCUAGCUUUGCCAUGCAGCAAUAGGUCACUUCCUUUCCAAACAUGACUUGCUUCUGAUACCAGUGGGAAAUUGGCAGCUCUUAUAUGAAAGCAAUACAUUCCAGUUUCCUCUUUUGGCUUUUCGCUGAGAUAGGAAAGGAAUUGUUGUUGUUAUGGUCCCAGUGCCCUGUGUCAGAGCUCUCUUCCCUGCUGCAUAACUGCUUUUUCAGUCAUUGAAAACCAGUUUGUCUGUAGUAUAUGGCAUCAUAUCUUGUAAUGUUUAUUAUAUUAUGUUAUAUUGCCCUGAGAUCUUUUUUUCCAGUAUCAUGGGCUUAAUUCUAAACAAAGCUGCACAACCAACAGUGAAAAUAUUUCCCUUUUCUGUUGCCUCAGGGCUUGUGUUUCUUCCUCAUUUCUCUGAAGGAAGAGAGCAUAAAGUUGCUAUCUAGACCUCUGUGGUAGGGGUUAAAAAUCAACAUAGUGGGAUUUAAAUGUACUUUUCUGUCUAUUUCACUGUCAAAUGAAAAAGAUGAGCUGAAGGGGAGCUCAUUGUUCUUCCAGUUCUCUUCUCCAGAGAUGGUGGAAAGCUGUCACACCUUCUUCUUUAUAAGGGGUCCGUAAGUCAGCAGGUCAGGAAUCCCUGGAAUUGAGCAGCACACAGCCGGUUGCCUCAUCUCCUGUGCCUGAAGCAUCAGCUUUGCAGAGAACUGCAAAGGAGCUAUGUUGCUGACUGAAGGGGAGAAGAGAUGACAAGUUUUGUUUCGCUUCUUAACAGCAUGAAACAGCUGCAUUGGCUUUACAAGUGAUUCAAAGCUGUCGCCCUCCAUGAAAGCUAGGGUGAAUUGUUUAUUGUAUACAAUGUGUGUUUUUACAAUGUGCACUGUCAUCUUCUUCCAGUCAGCUACUGGAGAUCAAGGUAGGAAGGAUCAUGUGUUUCUGUCCGUGCUUUCAUGUGGACUUGCUAGUGAAACAGGGUCUGUCUCCCAUGGAUGCAUGCCAGACUGUCCUUUGGGAUAUAGUCCAACGAGUAGGAAAAGAAAAUAUGUUUAAACUUGGCAUAAUUGCAAUGAAUAUAAAGGGAGAAACUAGAGCUGCAUCGCUGAUGCCAUUUCCGUACUGUGUUUGCUCUCAGGAAAGGGAAUCCAUUGAUGAAUUAGUGCAACAAGCCCACCGGCCGUGAAAGAAUACUCCUUACAAAAAAUCCACGGGUGACUUCUAGGCCAGAUAGGUCAUUCCUCACCCUCAGUGGUAAGCAGUGCAAGCAGUCUUUGAGGUCUGGGGAAAACUGCUUGGUAUACCUGGAAAUCAGUCUAAUUAUUUAGGCAUCUAAAUACAGAAUUUUGAAUUUAACACUAUGCAUCUUAUAAACAAACAAAAAAGAAAAAUUAAUUUCAGCUGAAGCUAUUUUAGUCUUGAAUCAUGCUUUUCUACCACAUUUCAGUAAUGUGUGCCAUGCAUCUCAUUACCUUUGCUUUUCUGGGCUUUUUCUUUUAAAUUUUUCAGUCAUCGUACAGUGUUAUUUAGAUCUAACUCAGCACCCUUUCAUCAUGCUGAGUGGUUCCAGUGAAUAAUGGUUGUAGGACUGGCCUGCUAGUAAUUCAGGGUUGCUGUCUUUUAUCUUGAAAAUGAAAUACCUCUACUGGUAUUUGUCAGUGCAGGUCAGUGCAGACACAGUGCAAUCCUUUUUAAAAAAAGUUCAGCCAGUCAUUAAUACUUUGCAUUGUAGGAGACAAUUUCCACAUUUAACUGAAUCUUGAGUUUAAUAUCUUAAUUUCAGCUAUGUACAAUCCAGAUAAAGGAUUCAUGUCUGUACUCAUUUUGUACACACUCUUGAUACAGCGUUUGAAAGUCAGAUGAGCCUUCAAAAUUUGCAAGUGAUGAUCUGUAUAAGGUAAAAUGUAUUGCCUAUUUGUUGAUGCCUGUAAGCAUACCUAUUUCACUAAAGCAGAAGCUACAUUCAUUAUCCUGUAUGGACUAAAUGCUGAUGUGCUUCCUUCUCACAUUGUUUUUGCUACUGUGGUAGAGUUUUACCACUUGAAUUCACUGACUAAUGUUCUUGACUUUUAGGCAGGGUGAAACCUUUAUUAAUUUUAAUUUUUCAAAAUCUGUUACCCACUAAUCACAUAAGUAUACCAACAGUUGUAAAUUCUUUGCAAUAUUUCACAGUUCAAAAACAUUUUUAUUUUCUUCUGCAAAGAUUUUAUUAAACUGACCUGUACCAUCCUCCUCACAGGACCGUAGUGGUGUACCCUAGUAUCCAUGAUACAAAUUAGGAGAUUUGGUCUGAAAUAAUAGAGAUAAUAUGUAAUCCUGAACUGACAUCUGAAGGACUGGUUACAGGUCUGUAAGUCAGCCUCAGUUAGUAUAGUCAGUCCUGUGUUAGGGUCAAGAGUAAGACAUUUUACUCUUUUAACAAAUUAUCCAAAGCCUGAGCUUUUUUUUCAGCUUUUGUUACAUUUCAGGAUUCAUGCUGAAUAACAAUAAUAAAAGAUGAAUCCUAUCUGUUUUUCUCUUGAUUGUUAGUCUAAUGUAGUGUAUGACUUUACUCAAGGUUUAGUCUGCCAGCCAAGGAAGGCAUGCAGUUAUCAGCGUUACUGAUAGGAUACACCAACUAUGUAAGCUUAUUUUCAAAUCUUUCCAAAUCCCAUACUACUUACUGAAGUAAAACUCUUGAGGUGAAGUGCACCUGUUUACAGAGAAGUACAGAAUAAAAAGAAGGUAUCACUGA